ACGCGGACCCAGGUGGUCCACCAUUGAAUCUACCACCGGAUUUGACAGGACAACCAACAUCCAACUGCCCGGCCAAUUUUGAUGGCAACCCUGCUGCUCAUCCCGUGGAAAAAGAGAGGAAGGCUUUCCUCACUGCGGAGGAGGAGGAGAUCUGGGCCUCCAAUGACUUGAACACCACCCGCAAAAGCGAGCUGGUUGGCCUGUUGAGGUCCAGGACUCGACUGCUGGAGACCAACGUCCAUCUUCAGCAGGCCCUCAAUGGCACUGAGGACACCUGUGCCCAACUGGAGGCUUCAAACAACGAGCUAAAGGCCCAGUU
Engraulis encrasicolus (European anchovy) is the source of this 319-nucleotide long non-coding RNA. RefSeq lists it as uncharacterized. Lineage: Eukaryota; Metazoa; Chordata; Actinopteri; Clupeiformes; Engraulidae. The transcript has 3 exons. The record is from RefSeq and is a predicted model, not a curated record.